This 158-nucleotide small nuclear RNA is filed under the name Echinops telfairi (small Madagascar hedgehog). RNAcentral describes it as "U1 spliceosomal RNA (ENSETEG00000022627.1)". It matches the Rfam family "U1 spliceosomal RNA". Rfam says of the family: U1 is a small nuclear RNA (snRNA) component of the spliceosome (involved in pre-mRNA splicing). Lineage: Eukaryota; Metazoa; Chordata; Mammalia; Afrosoricida; Tenrecidae. The record is from RNAcentral.
GUACUUACCUGGCAGGCGAGACACCAUGAUCAGGUGGUUUUCCCAGGGUGAGGCUCAUCCAUUGCACUGCGGAUGUGCUGACCCCUGCGGUUUCCCCAAAUGUGGGAAACUCGAGUGCAUAAUUUAUGGUAGUGGGGGACUGCGUUCAUGCUCCCCUG